GUGACCACUGAAGGCAGCUUUGCCAAAAUCAUGUACACAAUACUUUGGUUUUUCCCCGCAUAUGUGUUUUGCGCUGUGUUAAUAACACAGAAAGCGAUUACAAAGUCAAAGUUACGAUGUUAAUUAAGGCCGGAUACACUUCAGUAGGGUUAUUUCUCUGAAAGCUUCUCAAGUGCAUUUUGCAGUAGGAAGACAAAACUGGAUACUGGGAGAGGGCACAAGGAUUUCUGUGAAUAUAGGACGGUAUCCUUGUGGUAAAGGUGGGGCGCUCUGCUCCAGAAAAUCUAGCACUGACUUCCGCACGUCUUUGGGUACAUCUCCUCUUACAUCCAACAGGACAGAAACAUGCUCCUCACUGAAAAAACAUACUUUAACCCAGUUAAGAACAGCGAAGAUUUCUCCACCCUCUAGCUCCCAUCCACUAACCAGUCCAAGAUGGUUCUGCAAGAACUGGUGGCAGAAGCGCAGAUAAGCUCUUGUUAGGCGAUAGUGAGACGGAACACAUUGU
Molecule: long non-coding RNA, 508 nt
Organism: Puntigrus tetrazona (Sumatra barb)
Lineage: Eukaryota; Metazoa; Chordata; Actinopteri; Cypriniformes; Cyprinidae
Exons: 3
Source: RefSeq, a predicted model, not a curated record